This is a non-coding RNA of Macaca mulatta (Rhesus monkey), 466 nucleotides long. Lineage: Eukaryota; Metazoa; Chordata; Mammalia; Primates; Cercopithecidae. The record is from RefSeq and is a predicted model, not a curated record.
AGCAAUCCACCCGCCUCAGCCUCCCAAGGUGUUGGGAUUACAGGGUUGGGACGAGACCUGCAGAGCAUAUGCUCUGGGUAUUUGGUGGCCCUUCUGGUGAGCACUGGCAUUCCUUGAGGUCAACCUGUGCUGAAGACAGGAAGAUUUCACCCAAGUACAUAACUAAGAGAAGAUCACUCGCGGAAGAUUUCAUCCCCAAAAGCAAGAAUGUGAAGGACACUUGUACCCAGACAGUGAGGGCCACUGCCUCCUGCUAUGCUUUUAGCUCCCCCCAUAGCUGAGCCCUCCUGACCGGAAAACCUGAUGAGACCAUUUUUUUCAUCCCUCAGUCUCACAGAGGUCCCAUAAAACUGAACCAGGCUUGAUGCUGACACUGGGCCAGGGCAAUGUAGGCCCACUGGAGCCGGGGGAGAGUGUGACAGAGAGUGUCAAAGUCAAAAUAAAAAUAUAAAGACAAAUCUCUAAA